RNAcentral lists this ribosomal RNA (230 nucleotides) under uncultured bacterium. RNAcentral's name for it is "partial 16S ribosomal RNA". It matches the Rfam family "Bacterial small subunit ribosomal RNA", at positions 15 to 236 of the family's 1533-position model. The record is from RNAcentral.
GAUCCUGGCUCAGGAUGAACGCUAGCUACAGGCUUAACACAUGCAAGUCGAGGGGCAUCAGUUUGGUUUGCUUGCAAACCAAAGCUGGCGACCGGCGCACGGGUGAGUAACGCGUAUCCAACCUGCCUACCACUUGAGGAUAACCUUGCGAAAGUAAGACUAAUACCCAAUGACAUCCCACGAAGACAUCUGAAUGGGAUUAAAGAUUAUCGUGAUGGAUGGGGAUGCGU